This 400-nucleotide long non-coding RNA is filed under the name Physcomitrium patens. RNAcentral's name for it is "long non-coding RNA (PPAT_LNC000888)". Lineage: Eukaryota; Viridiplantae; Streptophyta; Bryopsida; Funariales; Funariaceae. The record is from RNAcentral.
CAAGCAGUCUAUCAGUUUUGACUGCUGGAAUAUAAACGACUGCAAUAAUGUACCGUAAAUCUAUACGGAUGCUCUUUGACUGCUUGUCGAAGUCCUUUUUGCCCCAGUCGGUAGGUCUCUAGACGUUACAGAGAACCCCGAACAACCCAAAUUGUUAAUCUUCAAUACCGCUUUGUACUUACGAUCUUGUAUCCACUGACUGUCUUGUUAGAUUAACCCAAUAAAUUUCAUUCACUCUGCAUACUCAAUCCUAUAGACACCCUUUUAAUCCUUCAAUCACAGACGUAACUCGAUUUCAUAAAACAGUCAAGAGUAUUCAAACCCACUUCAUUAAAAAUCCCGAUUCACCAUUACAAUACUAACUUCAGCAACGAUUACCUCAGUCUUCCCAAAACUCUAC